CAGAAAGCUGAUUAGGUAUAACAUUAAUGGAGAUUCUCAAAAUUUGAGAGAGACGAGUCUUCUUCAUUAAUCGCUGUGUCUAUCUCGGUUCGUGUUGUAUUGUUUCGUUUUCGAUUCAUCUCCUUACUGGCGUUACAAGUUCCAUUGAUUCAGUGUCAUUAAUGAGAUCUUAACUCUUCCGAGCCACUGCAACCACGACCAUUCAAUUAAUGAUUAUUAUACCUUUCCAAGCGGUGGGUCUCUACCUAUAAAAAGGUAAGACCUCAUCCCUUGAGAAUCAUCCUCACAACUCCAAUAGCAUUUGAAGAUGACCAGCAUGGAGAUUGGCUUCUCCUCUUUCCUUCCCUCAACAGGUUAUAUCAGUCAGUGGAAAAUUCUGAGUCCAUGUAAUUAAAGCUACCGCAAACUACAAUGUUGAUGCUAGCGUAUUCAAUUGUUUGGAAGAGCCUCUUCUAUUCACUUAGUGAUCAUCUUUAAGGAUGUUUUAGCUUCUUUAGUUCUCUGUUUUAGUACUGCAGAUUUCUAGGCUUAUUGUGAUUACUGACAUUGUGUCUUUUUGGUCCAGACACAAUCCAUAACCAGGAUCGUAUUUAUAUCCCUUAUACCAAUACUUGAAAGGCUGUUAACUCAUCAUUCUACUAAACUCGUAUCAUCUAAAGAUCUCAACAUCAGAAGUAGAGAGCUUCCACAAGAACAAUAUAUAUGAUGAAGCAGAGGAUGCUGUAAGGAUUGAUUUAGCAGGCAGAUUUGCUAUACAAUAUUUCUCUACAGAGAAGCUACUUAAGGUGAAUAUACAUACCGGAGGAGAUUGAUACAGAGCUCGACUUGGUUCUUCCAUAUCAAAUAAAUUUUAUGUCUAGGCAGCUCUUCGGCAACGGUUUCCAACUUUUAAAGCAGGAAGGAUUUGAAAAUA
Molecule: long non-coding RNA, 913 nt
Organism: Brassica oleracea var. oleracea
Lineage: Eukaryota; Viridiplantae; Streptophyta; Magnoliopsida; Brassicales; Brassicaceae
Exons: 5
Source: RefSeq, a predicted model, not a curated record